GCUCAUUCCCAGAUUCUGCUGAUUCUGAGACUGCCUUUUCACAAGCUGGCCAGGUGACAGGAGGCACAGCAGAGCCUGAGGUGUAAGGGCAUUUCCCGCCCCAGCGCGUGGGUUCUACUCUGGAAUUCUGUGACUUUAGGCCUUUUCUCCCUCUGGUUUUGGAGAGGUGAAUUCCCAGCCCUUCCCACACGGACACUGAGAAUGAGAAACAGAGGCGCCCAUGCCCUUGACAACAUUGCCAAGGUGACUUUCUGGCUGCCAGAACCAGCUUUGGAAAAAGUUCCUUUAUACCUGAUACUGGGAAUUAAUUGUACCCCAACCAUUUUUUCCCCAGUCAUAAGCAUCUCCCAGAGAUCAUGAGUAAGCUUCCAGGGGCUCCCAGGGGACAGUUCCCACCCUGACAGCGCCCCAUGGGCUUUCCAGUGAGAGGAGGAUUUGCGCUCCUCCCCGGCCUCUUCCCAGCAGCCUGUGCCUCCCAGCUUUGAAACUCUGCUGUUGCUGUGAGAAAGAAAGAGCUGGGGAGAACAAUGGCCUCUGCCUUUUGUGGAAGGAUGAUGAAGGGAACUGGAGAGAACAAAAUGAAGGGGCGCAGACAAUUCAUCUUUGUCUGCCUAAUUCACAGGAGUGUCCCCCAUAGAGCGGAGCCCAGCAAGUGGAUGAAGGGGUAACUUGUGAGUCUGCGGAAGGAACAGUCAGGCCACUGUGAAGUCUGCGACAGAGCAGAUAGGCCUGGGUGCACACCCUUCCCAUCACAGAUUCUAAAGGACCAGCCAGCUUUCAGCUGCUCUUCAUCGCCACCUCCUUCUGAGGUGGAAUCAAGACCGUGUCCCUUCUCACCAUAGGGAAAUGGCUCUGCAGUGUUCCAGCUGUCCUGAAGUCACUAAUCCCAUCAGUGACAGAUCCUGGCAACACACAUGGGGGGGGCUGCCCUCCUGGGCCAAGAGUCCAGCAGUCACCUCCGCUGCUCCAGGAGUGCCACGUUAGCUAAUUCUGGUGCACGGUCAGAUGGUGGCUAUUCUUGGUCAGCCUGUCCUCGGAAAAUUCAUUCCCCUGUUGUAUUGGAAAAUUCCUCUUGUGCCUGACGUUGCACACAUCAGGAGACCAAGGUUUCCAUUUUCUCAGAAGAAAUUAACCAGCGACUGUCAUUGAGAGCAAGCCUGGUCCUGGAAUUUUUUACUCAUCUUCUUAGAGCCAUAAUCCGGCAGAGGCAGUCCAAGGCUACGGCCUGCGCUCUACCACAUCAGAGAGACGAGACGCAGCUAGAUGGGGACCAGUACAAGAGGCUGGGAGGCCGUAGUUGGUGGGACAUGGCCUGUUCUACUGGACACUGGCAUCUUUAGUGUCAUCUACUCCUGGUUGUCAGGGGACAUCUGAGUUUGGCAGAAAUAGAGAGUAGGGAUGGAAGGGCCAGCCAAGGAGUACUUCCAGGGACAUAUCAAGACCCCUGUCUUUGAUAAGACUCUUAUCAAUAGUGACACUGACAUAAGCUGACCUUCACAGAAGCAAAUCUGCCUGGUCACAAGGAGAAAUGUUCACUUUCCAAGUGACUGGCACGGAAAUGUAAAGAGGCACAGACCCAACAGGCUAAUGGAAGGUCUUUACUCAGUUCCUGGAAUGCACUAAAACAGGAAAGUCAGCUUGAAAAAUUAGCAGAUUCCCUCUGGCCGGAUUCUCACUGUGGUCUCAGUUGGAUAUAAAAUCUAAAUUCUCAACUGCAAGUAGCUUCUUGGAAGGAAAGAUCUACUUAUAUACCAAGUGGUGCAAUCCGUAGGAAAUUCUUACGUCUUAACAUUUUAUUAUCAGUGAUGGGGAAAGUGAAGUUUUUGAUAAAGAACAUUGAUGGACUACGCCAAACACACCCAUUCAAUGGUCAUUCUUCACUUAAGUAUUCACUUAACAAAAAACCUAUUGAACACUUAGUAUGUUCCUGAACCAAAUACCAUGCUAAAGACUGAGAAUUCAAAAUGCAUUCACUACCACCCUCUUUUCUGGAGCCCAGAAUGGGGGGGGGGUGCUCAACACAACCAAGAAAUUACAGUAGGUUACAGGUAGAGCCUAAGUCAAAGUACAAAGACUGAGCCUCAGGAGUACAAAGAAGCAUGCUGGCUCCUCUGCCUGUGGUCUGGGGGUACUUCACAGUAACGGAAGCUUGUAAGUGGGGUUGACAAUGAGGAGCAGUUUUCCAGGCAAGUGCACUUGCUUUUUGUUGCAGACAUGAGUAUAUUACCCUGAGCACUUGAGCUCCAGGAAUCAGAAAUGUAGUAGGUGACAACCUCUUAGACAACAUGUUUUAUAUCCACUGGGAACAAUGGUUGUGUUCUAGGACAGUGGGUCCAGAGAGCCAGUGGCCCAAAGCAUGCCUUAAUGUUUGUCUCAGAGCAGGGUCCUGAAGCCAGAGCCCCAUUUCUUCCUUUUUCUCAAAAACUCUACUAAAAAAAAUGGCUGGAUAAAGGUCAGAAAAGGCUUGCACACUGGUGGUCCAAAAACUUGCCUUGGAUUAUUUGCCUAGCUCCCUUUACCUGCUGUGGAUCUCCAUUUCCCUGAAGUAGCCACUGUUCAAAUGCCAUCUCCUCACAGUCUUUCCCAACACUCCCAGGCUGAGUGCCCAUCCUCUUCCUUGCCACACCCCAUCCUUCCUUAGCAUAUCUCCACCCACCUGUAGGAGACGCCAUGUUUUCUUGUCUCCCUGAGGGAAGGAAGUAGGACUUUCUCAGCUCUGCAGCCCCAAUGCCUUGCUUAGUGCCUGUGGGACUCUUAUCAAAUGGACUCAGCCUGGCCUGGCACGUUUAGUUUGCCCUGACGUCUUCUAAUAGAGCAGGACAAUAUUCCCUUUGAAAGGCCCUUCCUGAUAAAAUCACACAGAGUCUUAAUACCCUUGUUUCACAUACAAAGCCCCUGAAGUAUAGAGAAAGGAGGCAAGUCCAGAAUGUAGUGUGUGGCUGAUCCAGAAGUUAACAGCUCUUCUCAGUCUGGGAAAAAUCUCACCAGCACUGUGUUGGGACAAAAAUUCCUUAGAGUCCACGGGCCGUCCCAAAUCAAAUGAAAUUUUAAACAAGCCAUCGUGCCAGGCUAUUCUGGAAGGUUCUCUCAGGCUGUGCCUCCAGCAGGUCAGAAUAGGGAAGAGCCCACAGGCCCAGUGCAGUGUCAGGUUCUGCCUUUUCUGUCAGCAGGCCUGGAAGAGCCUUUAAGAAAAUGGAAGAUUAUUAUUUGUUUGUUUUUACAGUGACUCAGUCUGUAGUAACUGGGUUAAAGUCCACUUUGAGAAAAGGAGAACAAAAGACCUCCUGUUAGUGCUGGAAGUUUGCCUCUUAAGAUAUCACUGAGAGGAACUGGGAAGAAAAAAAAAACCAGCAGGGCAGAGGAAGCUGCAGGCCUUCAGGAACACAGCAGCACUUUGGAAAGGAAAACACGGCUGCUUUUCAUCUCCAGCGCCCUAUCUGUGCUGGCCGCUCCCUCUGCCGCUGUUUUAUGGACCACUGCAGGGCUAACCGUCGGACAUGGGCCAGUGCCCAGUUCCCACACUCCUUGAACAUGAGGAAGCUGCCAGGAAUUGUGGUAAGAUGGAUGAAUUUCCAGCUAACCCCAGAUAGAGGAGAAGAAGGAGAAGGGGAGGCAGAAGGGAAGAAAUCAUGGAGGAAGAAGAGGAAGAGGAGGAGAAACAACCUUACGUAAUUUACUAUGCAGCUGGUACUCUUCUUACAAUCUAUAGUACAUCAUAGCUCAUCUCUUAAGCACCACAGAGCAGUAUACACUUCUCCAGGCACAGCAGAAGGGAGAUAUCACAAGAGAGAAACCUGGCCUUGCUGUUUAGGAAGCCCACUGGCCUCAUCUGGGAGAACCAUGAGGCUAGCAAGCUAAGUGGACCCUUCAGGUUGCAAACUCAGGCCACCUGGCUCCAAGACCUGAGGAGGACUUAUCCAACUCUCUUCAGAGGAAAAAAAAGAAGUUAGAGAAAGACAAGUCAAGAGAGGUUCUCUUCCCACAAACUGCCUUCAGCUCAGUCGCCCCCACUCACGCACGUUACACGUUAUGCUCACACUGUGUCCUUUAUCAACCCCGCUGUGGAAGCACUCUCACCCGUGACACCCAGACGGUGGGGUGGGUAUGUGCUAUGGCUGUCUAUUCUAGAGCUGACCUUCUUCAUCUUAAGUGUAGGAAGCCGGAAUUCUCUGCUCUGAGAGAAUGAGAAAGAGAUGGGAACAGGAAGGAAAUGACUGAGAUGUGUCAAAACUCUCUGGCCCUUCCUCCAUUCAGACCACUUCACAUCACCCUCUUCCUUCCCAGAGUCCUCCCAAGAUUAGGCUUUGAUUUAUAGCUCCCAGAGUGGCCAUGCCUUCUGGGUCUCCCAGCUCAGAAAGCAACUCUAUUCUGUCUCCUAAACAAUUUAUAUUUUUGCUGGAUUCUGACCAAACACAAAAGAUUUCAUGAAAACCCCCAAAUGAAAGUGUCACUGUGCUAAUCUCCGCUGUCUCUUUGUGGGCCCCUGUGCUCUUCGGGGUGCAGUAGAAGGCCUGGGAAGCAAGCAGUGUGAUGGGAUGGCAGAGGUAGCCAAAUGGCACCACAUUGGGCUGGUCCUCUAGUAUUCUGUGCAGCUGCCAGGGACUUGGAGCAGAUUAGUCCCACUAACAAGGGAUGUCUCUGCAAAUGAUGGCGAGACAGGGAGGCUCAAGAGGAGCCAUCCAAUGCUCUUUGGAAUGUUUCUCCCUUUGCCUGGCCCCAGAAGGAUCAUUAGGGGAGCCUAAUGAAAUCCUGGCUUUGUACCACCAUGCCCCUUGAAUUUUCCAGGUCCACUCAAAGAGCAGCAAUACCAGACCAAGACUGUGUGUUGCUUAUCAGAUCCCACAAGUGCCAGUCCUCACUAGAGUAUGGGCAGUUCACGGGGCUCUGUGGACAAUGGCAGGCCACAGCCUGGAAAGAACGAGUGCCUUUAAGUCAAAUGCUGUCUGGGGCCACAGUGGGGGCUUUGCAGAUCACCUCCACCAAGGAGAUAUUUGGCAUUCUCUUCCUUUCUAGGCCUGAUAAGGCCCGGGUUCACCGCCGGAAGUAAUCAGAUCAUCUUAGUGGAAUGUCCCUGGGAUCCCUUGUGUCCCAGGAGUAUUUGGCUUCUGAGAACAUGGUUGGCUCUUACAUAGCCAGCUUAAGGAAUUACAGUACUUCUGUGACCUACAGCACUAAAGAAUUUCGUGUGUGAGCGUGCCCACAAAAUGCAAACUGAGCAAUUGCAUAUUUUAAGUUUGACAAUUUGGUCAGUGCUUGUAGUAAAUAUAAACAAGUAACCAGAACUCUCAAUUUAGUCCAAGAUACAGCUUAUGAAAAUCCCAUUCCUAGAGCCUCACACCUGGCCCCAAGAUCACUGGUGGAUUAUCCUAAAUCCAUUCCCAGAAGCAUUAGAAUGUGUAGCUGGUCUCACAGCCACAGCUCACUGGAAACACUAAGGGAUCUGGCAAAAUGUGGGUGAUAUAGCAAAGGCCUGAGAGCAGAAAGAGGGGAGCCAGGUAAGGAUGCCUCCCAUCACAGACGCUUUGUGAUCUGGGUUGAAGGUGCCACUCUCAUAUCCGCCAUAGAUUCCGUGCCUGUAAACAAUGACGCUGCCUGCCACCAACUUGUCCCUAAAGGAGGCUGAGAAAGUGAAUUAAUUAAUGUUUAUCGAGCACUUGGAGUUCUUUGGAGAAAUGCCUUUAUAAAUAUAAGGCAUGAUUAAAGGAUAUCAGCUUGCUCACUCUCAGGGGAAGUAUUUAAUGGGAUCAGGCCUGAAUAUCUUGAUGACUGAGUUUCAUUCUUUAUUCAAAUAUGUGCAGGGCUUCCAUCACUCACCUCUGCUGCCCAUUCGCAUGCUUAUGUUGUUGUUUUUUCCAUCCCAACACCUCCAUAGUGGGCGUCCAGCAAUUGUUGCCGUCCUAUUGCACACGCUCACAGCCUCCUCUUCCUUACUGUCAAACCUGGUGGCUUUUUCUCAUUCCUCAGUUUCCUUUCUGGAACAUGAUGCUGGUCACUGUCUUUACCUUUCCUUUGGAAGUCUGUGCCUUCCUCAACACCGACAGGUCCAACCUGAAGUCGUCAUCAGUCUCAGAACAAUUCUCUACCCUGUGCUGGCCAUAGAGGAACACUCCUGUAAUUCCAGCAAUCAGGAGGCAGAGCAGGAGGAUUACUGGGAGUUUGAGGCCCGCAUGGGUUACAUAGCAAGACCUGACAAGUUUGUCUCAAAAAAAAAAAAAAAAAAACACCCAACAAACAAAAACUUCCUACCCUGACUGUCCUUUUUCUCCUCUUCCUUCUCAUGGGGCCCAGCCCACAGGUCUCCUGCAUUGCCACCCCCUCAAAUAGGCCUUUACUGACCCUGCUUCUUUAAAAACCUAUCUCUGAGCCGAGGAUUUAGCUCAGUGGCAUAAGCACCUGCCUGGCAAGCAUAAGGUCAUGAGUUCAAUCCCCAGUACAAAAGAAAAAAACUAUCUCUGAGGAAGGAGGACCUGUGUAUGUCCCUGGACUGCCCUCAAAGCCUGUCUGUGCCACUUUUAGCUUCUGACUAUCCUGUUUCCAAACCUGCCUGCAUCCCCUAUCCCUUUGCUGUGUACUGCCCCAGCUCUGUCUACCAUGUGAUCUGGUGUCCUGCUUGUCCAACUCUCUGUCCCACUCCCAGACACAGCUUGUACUCUCCCUCCCAGAAAGCUGUCUGAACUGACCAAGAGUCAGGCAAGAGGUGCCCUAGAAAAUGAUUGAGGUGUUGGUCCUACUGGUGCAAGCCUGUAAACCCUGCACUCUGGGAGGUUGAGGCUGGAGGGUCCCAAGUUUGAGUCUAGACUUAGCGAAACUACCUCAAAAAAAUAAAAGAGAUGAAGGAUGUGUUUCAUUGCAAUGACCCUGAGUUCGAUCCUCAGUACCAGAAAAAGCACCAUGACAGACAUCCCCAACAGACGCAAGAACACUCAUGCAGAUAGACACGCAUCAACCCAGGUCAAGGUAUGCAUAUAUACAGACACAGACAGACAGACUCAUGUAUUCAGAUAUACAUGUUCACGUGGACAUACACCAACACAGAUACUCAACAGAGACGAAAACAUACAUGUUCACUUAGACAUUACAGACACACAGAGGCACAUGUAUGAAUACACACACAGACACACACACAGAUUCAUAUAUGGAGAUACACACAAAGCUUCAAAGACAACCAUAUGCAGAGAUAUACACUCUCCUAUAGACAUACAUAAUCAUGUACACAGAGAAGCAUGCCCUGACAUGUUCAGAGACACAAACACCCAGACAUGCACAAAGAAGUUAGAACAAGUUCAUGUACAGCUGAGAAACACAGAAGUAUAUCCAGAAACACACAGACACACACACUCAUGUAUGCAGACACAGUGACACACACAACAGCGUGCAGACACUCCUCUUUACUGAUCAGCCAAUAUCCUAACUGACCUCCUGCAGUCUCUCUGAAUAGCCAUGUCUCUACUCUGACUUUCUCCAUUUCCAUCAGUGUUAGUUUGGGUCCAGAGCACGACAAUGCAUGUGGGUGGAUGGAUGGAUGGAUGGAUGGAUGGAUGGAAGGACAGAUUUUGAGGGAGUAGUUGGCAAGUAUGAAAUCUGCAGGGCAGACCAGCAGGCCAGACACCCAGGGAGAGGUAAUAUAGCUGGACCCAACGGCGGUGUAGAAGUUAAAAGCCCUCUGCCUUUCUCUUCUCUUAAAGCCUUUACUACCCACAUUCCAGAGGGUAAUAUGACUUACUUGAAGUCUUCUGAUUAUACAUUAAUCUCAUCUAAAAACACCUUCAUAGCUAUAUAUAGACAAGUAUUUGACCAAGAAUCUGGGUGCCAUGGGCUAGCCAAGCUGACAAGUAAAAUCACCCAUCACACCAUUGAUUUGGUAAAACUGUACAAAUCUCCUAAAUUACUCCUAACACAGUGCUUCCCUGCUCCAAAUCCUAGAUGCCUUUACACCUGACAAGUAGUAGGAACAAGGCAAAUAUUUGUUGAGUGAGUGAAUAAUGAGGGACAAACACCAUCUGCUCAGCCUAAAACACCAUCGUAAAGGCCAAGCGCUCCUAGGAGCUAAGGAUACAAGUAUCAAAACCACUCUCAUGUGUUCCUUCCUCCAAGUCUCCUGAUGUUUCCUGGACCCCUUAAUCCCCACAGUACCUACUGGAGGGCCUUACACACAACAGGCCCUCAAUUACUUAUAAUUUUUUUAUUGAUCCCUACUACAAAUUUACCUGAAAUCCUGCACUACCAAAAAUCUGUUUCCACUUUCAUUUUUAAGAUACAGAUGUAAAGAGCUAUUUUCAUAAUCAGGAAGAGUAUUUAUACCCCAGAACACUGACAGUAGUCUCUAAGGAUGGGAUUGUGGGUGGCUUCUAUUUUAUACUUUUUUGUGUUUUCUAAAUUAUCCUCUGUGAUCAUGUGUUACUUUUAGAAACAUAAAACUCAGUACAUGUUUUUUCCUUUCAUCUUUUCUUGUCUGAGUCUGAGGAGGCUUGGGCUUUGUUCUCAGAUCUUUUUGGGGGGCCUUCAGCAUACCUCUCGGCUUCUCCUUGAUAAACGCCAAGGAUAUAGCUCAGCAACACCAGCACUUGUCUGGCACGUGCAAGGGCUUGAGUUCGAGUCCUGUACCAAAUGCAAGAAAAGGUCAUCUAGGACUUCCUUGGAAACCUCUGCAAGGUCAUAAAAGGUGAAGUUAACUGCAACUGUUGUUCUGUUUUAAUUAUAUCCAGUGCCAGGUAACAUGGAGCUUUUAAUGAACGAAUUUGGAGAGUUAAUGAUGAUGGUAGUCUUCAGGCUGUUUCCAGGAAGGAGCAGGAACUGGGAUAUAGUGUCCGCUUUGGCCACUCCUACAGUCUGUCUGGUCCUGCCAGCCUGUCCUGAGCCGCCUGCAGCAUGCCGUCAGAUUGCCUCUAUGCCAGACAAACACCCAGCCACCGUGGAAGCGACUGUUCCUUGAACUUUGCUUCAGCCCCGCCUGCCUGCUGGGGUCUCUGGAGGGAAGCAUUCUCCUCUAGCCCAGAUGAAAUGGAGCUUCAGAAAAACCACAGCAGAGGCCGCAGCGGCCUCAGGCUCUGAACUUUGUGUUGCUUAGGUUGCCAGCAUCACUCACUGCUGAGUGUCAUGUAACUCCCAAAAAUGCAAAGGGGAAACCAAAGAGCCAAAAGAACGCAGACAUCUUGUGGCUGGAGAGUCCGUCUAGAAAGUCGCCUUUCACGGUGCGGCCAGGUGUGCAAGAGCAGCUGCUGGCCUGUGGGAAGGCGGGUGAUCCCAGAACGAGGAGCCGGAAUUUCAAGAACCUCACCCUGCACAAGGCCAAGUUUGUGAAAUCUCCCGAGUUCUGGAAAGAGUCCUACACAAACUGGUGAGGUUUCCAGCCUGAUAUUUGAUAAGUGCAAAUGGGCUGAAAAUAUUCUGGAGAUUUUUCAGUUUUGUACAAUUACUAGUGGCCACUGAAGCCCAUCUCCUCUUCAGCCAGGCGGGGCCUGGCUGUCCCUGAGCAGUAAAGCACACCUCACCAGCAUGCCUUGUCCCCACACACUCAUGUCCCCUGCAGCCCUCCCAUGCCGAGUCUUUCAGCAGCUGUUGAGUACAGAAAAGGCCCUGGCAGUCGCGCAGCGGUCUCCAGCUGGUCACCUUCCUUUUUCUUCUAUGUCAGCCCAUGCCAGGGCUGGAAGGAAUCUGAGCGCUCCUCAGCCUCCUCUCGUGCACACCGUGGACUCCUCUGGCUCCAGCUCCUGAGGCUUGGUCUUCAGUACCUCUGUGUUCCCAGAGCUGGCUGACAGUAGGCUCCAUGAGCAAAUGCGAGUCAGUGAAUGAAUGAAGGAGUCCUGAUUCCUUUGUUGUCAUCUUUUCCUCAGAGCGACCCUUUGCAUGGGCCACAUUUCACUCCAACCUCUCAGCUUUUUUGCAAAAUGAGUUUACCUGUGAUUGUUCCCUCCCAGCUGUACUGAACGGAGCAGUUACAAGGGAUCCCUUGGCACCCACACACUGUUGGGGGGCAGCAGGACCACAGACCCUCUAUCAGCCACAAGAGGAGCAGGACAGCUGGAGCCUACUAACAAUGUUUCCCCUCCGUGGACUCUGUCCCGGUUCCUAGAGCUGCCACAACAAAAUGCUGCAAGCUUGAUGAAGUUUGCUUUAAAAACAGAAAUGUAUUCUCUUCAGUGCUCCCAGUCUUCCUACAAGGACAGAGUGAUAUUAGAUUAAAAGCCAACCUACCCUAGUGUCUUACCUCAUUAUAUCCACAGUGACCUUAUUUCCAAAAAAGAUCAUACUCUGAGGCUCUGAGAAGGACAUGAAUUUUGGGGGGAACACAGUCCAACCUUCCUGCCUGCUGCAAGGUUUCGUCUUGCCUCCACCUCCCCUUAACUCUCUACCCCUUCCUUUAGUUGUGGGCAGAGACUUCUGAGAUGCAGCCUCUUGUGCCCACUAGCCUCGGAGGGGGCCAUCUGUGCCACUGUGUCCCCUCUGUGGACACUGACACUCCAGGGACCCGUAAGCCCUGAAGUCUGAACUCUUAAAUCAGCUCACCCUGCUCAAGUUGCACUUUGGAAACACCCCAACAGCUUUUCAGACAUGAAGCCCUGACCACAUUCCCAGGAAGUCUGAUGCACUUGGUCAAGGCAAGACUUUGGCAUGAGCACUUGUUUUUUUUAUUUUAAGAAUGAGAACAAUUGUGUUAGAUGCUGUGAAAACAGCCCUCUCUUUGGGAAAGGGAGUACAGCCACCUGGCAUUCACCAGGAACAUGGGUUUCUACACCCCAUGGUUUGGCAGCCUAAAAAGCUACAUCAGGCUACUCAGAAGGCCUAGCUCAAGGUGGGGACUUCAGCAACACCGCUUCCAAAAUCUCCUAAGUUCCCAGAAAGCAGGAAAGAGCAAACACAUUGUUUAGGAGACCUGCGACCAUCUGCAGAAACAAAAUCUCCUUGAAGUUUCCUAUUUUGUCUUUAAAAUGUAAAUGUUGCAUCUCCUUCUAUAAUGUAGACAACUUCUUUUACAGUUUUUAAAAAAUCAUUCUUUUUUUCCUCCUCCAAAUCAAGUGUUGAAAUGAGGCUCCAGAAAGAUGAACUAUGUUUAAACUGUGGCUUUGUACAUCCUAUUGGGUCCCCCUGAGUUCCUGACCGUGAAAAGUCCAGCCACAGAGAAUUAGGAGGGGUGACAGCUGAUCUGUUUACCAUUCGGAACGAAUCAUAUCGUGGGAAGAAAGCCAGGCCCGGAGAAGGUGAAGAGCUCACCAGGAUCACACAGUGUGUUACUGACUGGGUCGGAGCAGCACCUCAGGACACACCAUAUCCACUGUUUUGGGCAGCGUGGGGAGCCCUCCAUUCUGCCUACCUCAAAACUGUCAAGGAGGCUCCAGUGAAGAGGACCUGUGAGGUGGCACUUUGAACUUAUGGAGUCAGACAUAGGGACAAGGGGCUGUCAUCAUAAAUCCAGCCUGACACUGCUAAGCAAGGUACCAUGCUCCUAGCAAGAGUGACCUUCUGGGUCAUGCCUGGCAGACCUCCGAAGCUGCUCAGUGACUCCCUGUGUCCCAGGCACAGGAGGCUGAGGCCUCACAGCAUGCAGGUCCUCUUUGCCAGCACAUGCUUUUCUCUCCCCCACCAGCGGCAGACCACAGGAGUGACCCCACCAACAGCACUCUCAGCUCAAUCCCCUUCUCCACAAGGAGUCAUGGGAAAAUGGCAUGUCCCACAUCUCCUUUCUCCCUUGCCGAGGCCACAGAGACCUCCCCUACAAUCCUCUUCCAGAGGAAGUCACAUCCCGUCCUGCCUCUGACCCUCCCUCGCUGUCCCAGGCCUGAGUGAGGCUCCUCAGCUUUCUGCUUUCUUCUGUUUACAUUGGGAGACGAGCUUCUGCUGAGCUUAAGUGCAGUUCUGGCCCUUUUGUUUGUUUUUAAGUCAAGUUACAACUUUGCUCCUGGAUUUAUUACAACUUCCAUUUAUCUUCCUCUGCCCAGGGUCUCUGCACAGAUCCUUUGGAGCUUCCCUCCCCCGCUGAGGACAGCUAUCAAGGGGCACGGGACAGGCGGGAGGCACAGACUGAGAGCCAGAGGCUGGGGAGGAAGCCACAGGCAGGCGCACAGGAGGAGGGGCUGCAGAUCCUGCAGGGGCGGCCAGCUGCAUGCCUCCUGCCCUUCUACAGGCCUUAAUAGGAAAGAAGAGCCAGGCUGAAAGGUGAAGAAAGCCCAGGCCUUAGAGGAGGAGUAAAGGAAGAAAGACUGGUUUGGAAGAAAGGAGCCUGUGGCAGUUUCCAGCAGGCAGUCAUUAUGGUGCCUAACAUCCCAAGAGGUCUAGAUUAGGCGCUUCUGCAGGGCUGGCCUGACAAGGGCUGUGGUCUCUGGGUGAGCAAAUGUCCAUGGAGGAAUGCCCAGGCCUGCAGGGCACCAGCACAGCCUCAGAGUGUCCCCUUCCUUCUCACAAGCCUCCCUGAGCCUCUGCAAACCCCAUGGUGUUCUUGCACUGUUGAUGAAGAACAAACAGGUCCGAAACCAGAGCUCACUGGGGAGAGAAAGAGAAUCAAACUGAGCCAUGAAAAUUGGGAGCAGGAACUCCAACUACGCUACUGCCUUGUCCUUCCGAGACAGGAAGUCCCGAUGGCCAGUCCUCACUCGCAUGCAUGCCCUCGCUCAGCAGUACGCAGUGGCCCCUCAGGGAUUCACAGGGAUUGGGCAGCUACGUGAGAGUCCCAGGAGCUGGGGAAGAGCGACUACUGGGCUCUCAGGACCUAAAGAUAUGACCUCAGAAGGGGGUCUGAACCCUGCCUGGCCCCAGAGAGCCACUGUGGUCCUGGGGGAGCUACAGAGUCCCUAGCAGGCUGCAGCUAAAGGGGUCAACGUUCAUGGUCUCCCCUUAGCAUCGCAGUCCCAGGGUGUAAAACUCAGGUCUCAGGGUCUCAACCCAGGACCUCACGAAAUGGGGAUAAGGAAUCUGGACGGAGCAGGCUGCACAAUCCUAGGAGCAUCCCAGCUUCAAACUGCCUAACAACGGGGGCUUUCCACAGCAGCCUCCCUGGCAAGAGCCUGGGCUUCAUUCCAGUCCUGCUCCCUAAGUCACCCAGCAGCUCAGCCCCUCACUCUGCCUCUCCCCUGCCUCAGAGCCUGGCCUGCAGGCCUCCCAUCUGUCCAACUGCCACUUGGCUCCCUCCAGACUUCUAUGGCAUCCCCUGAAACCUCCAAGACUUCCACCACUGGCAUCCCCUCUCUGCCCACAGCUACCAGCCCUCACCCUUCCUUCUUCUACCUCUCCCCAUGACCCCAUAGGAGCUUUCCUGGGCCCCCUCCCCAGCCUGACUCUGUGCCCUUAACCCCUCGAACCUCUGACUCUCCCCAGGGUCUCCUGAGGGAGCCACCUAGGCCAGCCGCUUCUUUCUCUGCACCUGUAGCUGCCGGGCCCUGCCAACACCAGCUGCAGACACAGCAACCCAGCAGUCCCAGCUGUCCCUCCAGCUCCUGAGUCAGCUGGACACCAUCCCUGAGGCCUUCACUCUCCUGAGGCCUGCCCGCCCUGACCCCACCUCCAUUUUCUAUCCACAGAGCCUCUGACACCCCUCACUGAGGAGGUCCAGCCUCUCCAAAGCACCCUUUCCUGCCUCCUCUUGUCCAUCCAUGGCUCAUAUCCCCACCCUUGCUCAGUGGAGAGGAGCAGAUAUAUCCGCCCCUUUAGCAAAUGAAUAAUUUACCCCUUGGAGAAUGGCAGCAACAUUUAUCUCUUUUGUCCCGCAUUGCCACCCAUCCUCCUUCCUGGAUUAGAAGCUUCCUGUGUGGUAACAGGAGCCCCAGUGACAUGAACACGUGUCCAUGUUUGAGAAACUGUCCCAGAGUGCAGCUGUCUCUGAUGCUAAGAUGGCUGCCCUUAACUCCUUCUCUCAGGUGCCAUCCUUUUGUUCCCCUUGUUACAUAUCACUCAUAGUAUCCUUUACACCUUUGUCUACUUCCUGUCCCCAGGAACUGGCCCUUCCUCCCAUGAGCCACCCCAUGUCACCUCUGCACAGUGACUGGGCCUCCCAUCCACCACCUGAAACCCUUCCUUGGAUUCUCCUGGUUCCUUUCUGCCAGGCUUCUGCUUUUCUCUCUGGCCAAGUGCUCCUUCCUUGCUUCUCUGGCCACCCAGUCUCCUUGCCCUCACAUUCCUUCUAUCUCAUCCACGUGUACCAAAUCUCUCCAGCUGAGCUUCCACAUUUCUGCCUGCCUGCUGACAGUCCCUGCACAGACACCCUCCAGUUUCUGCACAGAAUGAACUGAGCACCUGUCUUAGCUCCAUCUUCUUUUUCGUGGUUGUUUCUUUAUGUAUGUUCACUGCACAGUGUCCACCUCUCCUGUCUCUCCCUGCACACCUGAUCUGCUUCUGGAACCCAAAAGAAUCCUCUUCUGUACUGCUUUUGAGAUCUCUCACCACCUCCAGGAAGUCAUCUAAAUGUGAGCCCUUCCCUUCCCUCUCCUGGACAUUUUCUACGACUCUCUUGUAGUCCACUGGUCCUCUGACACAGAGCCCACUCUACUGACCCCUUUUCCUUGCAGAAAUUCAGACGCACGUCCUCCCCAGCCAGCAGCACGGACCUGCCUACCCUGCCGGCCCGGUCUUCACUGCUGCCAGUGUCACUCAGCAGCUGUUGCUGAGGAUCUGCUGUGUAAGAUGCACCUGCACUCUGCUCAUAGCCACCUAAUUCCUGCUCACAGAGCUUACCAAUAUGCACUCAUCCAGUUUUCUGGUCCCUCUUUUGAUGCACUGUUUUAAUCUGGCAGAAACACCCUCUCUUUUGCUCUCAAAUCCUCCUCCACUCUGCCUUAUAAUACUGGUUUUUCCCCUCUUACAACUGCACUGAACUGUGUGUGUGUGUGUGUGUGUGUGUGUGUGUGUGUGUGUGUAUUGUGUGUGUGUGUGUGUGUGAUAUCCAUGUUUGUGUAGCCCUGAAAACCCAGGAACAAUCCCUAUAUGUAUUGAAUGUGUAGUUAGUAAACUGGUUGCCAUUGAACCAGAUCUGAUUCCCUCAUUUCACAGAUGAUAAAGCUGUAGCCAGAGCUGGGCCCAGGUCAGAAGGAGAGGAAACAGCAGAAUCACAUCUCAGUCCAGCUCUCCUGAUUCCUGACAAUACUCAGGCAAAUAAGGAACUGCAAGCUCAGUUGCCCAAAGCCUGACUGCAUGUGCCCUCCAUGUGUGCAUCAGCUGCUCCUCCACUCUUCCUCCUACAAAGUGGGUGGACUCGAGCCAGAACCGAGAGACUGUGGAUGAGUAUCCGGGGCUUAUCCAAACCCACCCAAGGUCUUACCUCAUCUAGUUUGCCACCACCACUUCCUGGUCCACAUUUAGUAUCUAACAGCAAGUGCGUGUCAUCGAGUUUUCUGAAGCUCUAGGGCAGUAGCUUCCUGUCUUCUUUCAGCCGUGGAGGUACCACCUUAUAAAGUCUGUAGCGGAAAUGUCUCUUGCCUGUUGAGAUAUUCCUGCUAUGCCUUCAACCCUCAUGGCCUGUAACUGGCUCUUCUGCAAAGUAGAAGAGCUCCUCCCACCCGCCUUGCAGCAUCGUCUUUUAGUGUAGAAGGAUUUCUGAAGCAUAUUAAUUCUUAUAGUUCCUGGCAGGACACAAAAACCUAUCAGCAAACUAAUGUGUUUUGUAGAAGUUGAGCAGGGCCCCGGCUGUCUGUGGGGCUGCCCACAAUGGUAGCCAUCAGUGCUCUCACAUGGGGAUCUGGAGAAAGCUAAGCUUUGUCACUUGGGAAAGAUUUACAGAUCCCUGUGUCUGGGCACACACAGCCCAGGAUGCACUCAGCUCUCCAGGUUCGACCUGGGACAUCCGGAGCCUAUAAAAUCCACCUCUAUUUUGGGGUCUUCUUGCUUUCAAUCCAGCUGUGGCCUUACCCCAAUCCAGUGAAAGAUUUUCUAUUUUAAUAACAAAGAAUUUGUUUAUUCAGUUUCAUAAAAUCCGAUGGAAGGGUCAUGCACAAGACUCAAAUCCUUGCUAUGAAUUUCAAAGAACUGGACAAGUAAUAACAUUGUCAUCCUAACCCAAGGAGGUGGAGAUUACAUUAGCUGCUGCAAGCAGCAGAGAACAACAUUUGGAAAAUGUGCCAUGUCGCACUCUGUGCAGCUUGGAACAGCAAACCAACCAUUGCUGUCAAGUAGCCUGUGCUCUCUGUCAAGGGUGAGCUGGAGCAGGCUGCCCUGGGAAAGGCAGUCACAGCUGAGUGUAGUCGUUUGCGUGGGAAGUCCAGCUGUCUCGAUAGGGCCCAGGAGACAGACUGACGAAGGGAGAAUUCCUGUGUUUGGGACUGGGCUUGAGAAGUCGCCUGUUUGUAACACUCAGAAGAGCAGAAAGAAUUUCCAGCUGUCGACAUAGUGCAGGGAGCCGUCCUGAUGCUGACGGGGCCUGUUUUUGCAUUACAGAUUCUCCUGUCCUCCUGGGCUGGCAGCAGACACCCAGUCCAGGGACCGGCUCUGGAUCCACAUGACCCUUUACCUUACUAAAAGACAAACAGCAAUAUUGUAUGAUUCUACGUAUAUGAGGAACCCAGGGAGGUCAAAUUCAUACAGCCAGGAAGUAGAAUGUUCAUUGCUAGGGCUGAGGAGGGGAGAGGAGAAUGGGGAGUUCAUGGUUACAGAGUUUAUUUCGCAAGAUGAAAAAGUUCUGGAGAUGAGUGGGUGUGGUUGCAGAUCACUAUAAAGGAACUGAAUACACAGAAAUGUACACUCAGAACAGCUGGAACACUAAUGUAUGUUAUGUAUAUUUUAUCAUGAAGAAACAAAGAAUAGAUUCUGUAAUGUUUGGAGGGAGUUAGCCUCACACUAAGUCUAUCUAUUAUCAAUAGUGGGUGACAUUCUUUUUCAUCAGAACCUUAUUUUCCUUUAUUGAAAUGUAAUUCGGACACCAUAAAAUGUAUUAUUUUAAACUAUAUACUUUAAAAUGACUUGUAGAAUUAUAGGGACAAAGAAAAAAUUUCCCCCUUUGUCCGCCAAAGGGUCACUGGAAUGAACUGACAACAGACAAACAGGAGAAAGAGACACACAGAUUUAUUUAGCAUGUAUGGAGGGAAAUCACAGGAGUGUGAAUCCCACCAAGCCAGCAAGAUUCAGACGGCCGCCUACUUGUCUUCAUAGGCCAGAGGGACAGGGAGGAACGUAGGCGAUUGUAUUUGAAGAGUAGCAAAUGGCUGCUGAGAGGAUGGAUAGGUCAAGAGAACAUAAAUGAUCUCCUUAGAAUAAUGAAUGGACCGGGGACAUAGAUGAUAGCUUAGGACAAAGUCUGCCGAGGUGCAGAUCUGCCUGUUUUCCUUCUCACACCGUGAGUUAGUUAGCGAAACCUCAAGGAGUGAACCAAAGGUUAUUGUUUUUCCUUUCUGGCAAGUCUGGCUUUUGGAAAGAUAAGGGAAUAUCAGCCAAGCCUCUUGUUGCAUCAGCUGCUUUCCAAGGGCCUUGUCUGAAAAUAAUUAGCAUGCCGGUGUGGCACAUUUUGAGGUGGAAUUUCCCAGGCUCCUUAAGUAUAUGCACAAGGCGGUACAACCAUCAUUACUGUUUAAUUUAAAGAUAUUUUCAUUACCCUAGAAAAAAUCUAUUAGUAGUCACUCCCCAUUCCUCCCUCCAUCCGCCCCUGGCAGCCAUUACUCCACAGUCUGUCUAUAUGGAUCUGCUUAUCUGACAUUUGAUACAAACGGGAUUGUACAAUAUAUGAUAUUUUGUUCUGGAUUCUUUCAAUUUGCAUAGUGUUUUCAGAUCCAUCCUGUUUUAGCAUAUAUCAGAAUUCAUGAUACAAAGCUGAUAACAUUCCAUGGGUCACAUACACCACAUUUUGUUUAUCUACUAUCACAAGUGCAUAGUUGGAUUGUUUCACAUUUUUACUAAUAUUUUUCUGCUAAGAACAUUCAUGCACAUGUGUGUGGACCUGUGUUUUCAAUACUUGGUUACAUAUGUAUCUAAGAGUGGAAUUGUGAAUCAUAUGGUAACUCUGCUUUAUUUUAUGAGGAAUCACUAAACUUUUCCAAGUUUAAACAUUUUAGCUAGAAAUAUUUGAGGGUUCCAAAUGCUCCACAUUCUCAGAACACUUGCUAUUGUCUUUUCUUUAUUAUGAUAUCCUUCCCAGGAGGUAUGAUAUCUCACCAUGAUUUUGAUUUGUUAGUGACUGAAAAUGUGCAGCUUUUCAAGGUUUGGGCAGCGGCGAUUGGAGAUGGAGCUGAAGGCCUUGCAUAUGCUAGGCAAGCACUCCCCCACCGCACUACAUCCUCAGCCCUGUUUGUACAACUACUUUAGAGAAAUGGCCAUUCAAAUCCUUCACCCAUUUUUAAAAAUUAUGUUGUCUAUCUUUUUAUUGUUUCAUUGUAAAAGUUAUGUAUAUAGCCAGGCAUGGUGAUGCACACCUGUUAUCCCUGCACAUUGGGAGGCUGAGAUAAGAGGACUGCUGUGAGUUCAAGACCAGCCUGAACUGCACAGUGAAAGCUUGUCUCAAAAAGACAAAAAAAAAAUUAUGUAUAUAUUCUGUCUAUAAGUCUUUUAUCAUAUCUCUGAUUUGCAAAUAUUUUUCCCAUUCCAUUAUUGAUUGUAGCCUUCUACAAUCCAUUACAUCCAUGUUUCUUCUAAGAGUUUUAUAUUUUUAGUUGUUAAAUUUUCAGCUAUAUUGAUCCAUUUUGAGAGUUUUCUGUUCUCGGAUCAGGGAUUGAACACAGUGCCUUCACACUGAGCUAUAUCCCCAGCCCUUUGUUUUAAUCUUUAUUUUGAGACAAAGUCUCACUAAGUUGGCUAAAUUGGCCAGCCUGGGCAGAAAUUUACAAGCCUGCUGUCUCAGUCUUGAGCGCUGGGAUUACAGGUGUGUGCCACCAUGCCACCUGAUUUCAUUUUCUGUUGUCCAUAGCAGGAGAUGCAGGUCCAGUUUCAUUCUUUUAUCCAUUGAUAACUGUAAGUCUAAUAUCACUUAUUGAGAAGACUGUUUUAACCCUGUUAAUUAUGUUGGUAACCAUGUUCAAAAAAAUAAAACUUUCUCUUUUUCUAACAUAAGAAUUUAAAACUCUAAAUUCUGAAAGAAGCCAGACACAAAAGGCCACAUGGUGUUGAAUUCCAUUUAUAUGAAAUGUCCAGAAUACACAAAUCCAUUGAAAGAGAAUAUAGAUUAACGGUUUCCAGGAAACGGACAGAGGAGGAAGUAGAUGCUAUAGUUAAUAGAUAUUUUCUUUUGGAGGUGACGGAAAUGUUCUGGAAUUGGUGGUGAUUGUUGCACAAUAUGGUAAAAAUAAUAAACAGCACUGUUUUUAUUUUUUUCUUAAAAUACACUCAAAAAUGAUGUUUUCAUGUUUUCUUUUUAAAAUUUUCAUUCAUUUCAAAUAAUUUUAAAUUAUCCUCACAUUUUCUUCUUUGACCCAGGGAUUAUUUAAAAUAUAAUGUUUAGCUUCCAAAUAGUUGGUUGUUUUCCAAACAUCUGUUUGGUUUUUACUUCUAACUUAAUUAUUUUGUGAAAAGAUUUCAAAUUUUUAAAACAUGCCUUAGUUCUUUUUUAUGGCUCCAAUUAUAAUCCAAUUUGGUGGGUGUUCCUCUGGAAUUUGAAAAGAAAUAGAUGUUCUACUAUUGUUGGGUGGAGUGUUCUGUAAAUGUCAGUUAGGUCACACAGAUUGGUGGUAUUAUUCAAAUUUUCUAUAUUUUUAAUAACUUACUGCCUAACUUUUCUAUCAGUUCCUGAGAGUGAUGUAACUGUAGAUUUGUCUAUUUCAUCUUUAAGUUUUGCCAAUUUUUAUUUUAUGUAUAAUAAAUUCUGUUAAUGGAUGCA
Molecule: long non-coding RNA, 19717 nt
Organism: Cavia porcellus (domestic guinea pig)
Lineage: Eukaryota; Metazoa; Chordata; Mammalia; Rodentia; Caviidae
Exons: 2
Source: RefSeq, a predicted model, not a curated record